AUUGAACGCUGGCGGCAGGCUUAACACAUGCAAGUCGAACGAUGACUCUCUAGCUUGCUAGAGAAGAUUAGUGGCGGACGGGUGAGUAACAUUUAGGAAUCUGCCUAGUAGUGGGGGAUAGCUCGGGGAAACUCGAAUUAAUACCGCAUACGACCUACGGGUGAAAGGGGGCGCAAGCUCUUGCUAUUAGAUGAGCCUAAAUCAGAUUAGCUAGUUGGUGGGGUAAAGGCCCACCAAGGCGACGAUCUGUAACUGGUCUGAGAGGAUGAUCAGUCACACCGGAACUGAGACACGGACCGGACUCCUACGGGAGGCAGCAGUGGGGAAUUGUGGACAAUGGGGGCAACCCUGAUCCAGCCAUGCCGCGUGCGGGAAGAAGGCCUUCGGGUUGUAAACCGCUUUUGUCGGGGAAGAAACGGUCUGCGCUAAUACCGCGGACUAAUGACGGUACCCGAAGAAUAAGCACCGGCUAACUACGUGCCAGCCGCCGCCGUAA
This 496-nucleotide ribosomal RNA is filed under the name uncultured bacterium. RNAcentral's name for it is "partial 16S ribosomal RNA". It matches the Rfam family "Bacterial small subunit ribosomal RNA", at positions 30 to 523 of the family's 1533-position model. The record is from RNAcentral.